UACGUAGGGUGCAAGCGUUGUCCGGAAUUAUUGGGCGUAAAGAGCUUGUAGGCGGUUUGUCGCGUCUGCUGUGAAAAUCCGGGGCUCAACCCCGGACUUGCAGUGGGUACGGGCAGACUAGAGUGUGGUAGGGGAGACUGGAAUUCCUGGUGUAGCGGUGAAAUGCGCAGAUAUCAGGAGGAACACCGAUGGCGAAGGCAGGUCUCUGGGCAUUAACUGACGCUGAGGAGCGAAAGCAUGGGGAGCGAACAGG
Molecule: ribosomal RNA, 253 nt
Filed under: uncultured bacterium
Lineage: Bacteria
Description: partial 16S ribosomal RNA
Rfam family: Bacterial small subunit ribosomal RNA
Source: RNAcentral